GUUAGAUUUGAGUAGGGUUAAAGUUAGAUUUGAGCAGGGUUAAAGUUAGAUUUGAGCAGGGUUAAAGUUAGAUUUGAGCAGGUUUAAAGUAAGAUUUAUGCAGAGUUAAAGUUAGAUUUGAGCAGGGUUAAAGUAUAUCUCACAGGUCAACAGUUGUGACUGUACUGUGUGUUUCUGUUUGACAGCUCUGUGUGUUGUGGUGUCAGCUGUCACUAAGGAAGUGGUAGGAGGACAAGUCACUGUGGGCUGCUCAUUCACUUGGGCAGGAAACAACAUCAAAUACUUCUGCAAGGGGACAUGUUCUGGUAAAGACAUUCUGGUUGAAACUAAGAGGAGCAAGACUGUAACUCAAGGAAGAUACAGUAUAGAAGACAAGGGAAAUGAAUUCAAUGUGACCAUCAAGAACCUGAUGAAGUCAGACUCUGGGACCUACUGGUGUGGAGUGGACAGAUUUAUAAAAGAUUCCUACCAAGAGGUGCAUCUCACAGUUACAGAUGCUCCUCCCACUUCUACAACCUCAACUGCCUCCUCCAGACCACAUGUCUCCACAACCCUCCCAAACCCCUCUACAACAUCCCCUAACACCUCCACAACCCUCCCAAACCUCUCUAAAACAUCCUCAAACACCUCCACAACCCUCCCAAACCUCUCUACAACAUUCUAUCUGCCAUCUGGAGACAUCAGAGGUCCCUCUUCGUCAAGAGCAGUUCCAGGUACACUGGUGGUCAUCAUGGUGUGUGUGAGUCUGGCUGUGUUGGUGGUGGGACUGAUCUACAAAUGGAGGAGAGACAGGCAAUCAUCAAGUGAGUAACCCUCUCAUGUAUGUAUGUACAGUUGAAGUU
Molecule: non-coding RNA, 842 nt
Organism: Salmo salar (Atlantic salmon)
Lineage: Eukaryota; Metazoa; Chordata; Actinopteri; Salmoniformes; Salmonidae
Source: RefSeq, a predicted model, not a curated record